RNAcentral lists this ribosomal RNA (253 nucleotides) under uncultured bacterium. RNAcentral describes it as "partial 16S ribosomal RNA". It matches the Rfam family "Bacterial small subunit ribosomal RNA", at positions 524 to 776 of the family's 1533-position model. The record is from RNAcentral.
UACGGAGGGUGCAAGCGUUAUCCGGAUUCACUGGGUUUAAAGGGUGCGUAGGUGGGCAAGUAAGUCAGUGGUGAAAUCUCCGGGCUUAACCCGGAAACUGCCAUUGAUACUAUUUGUCUUGAAUACUGUGGAGGUCAGCGGAAUAUGUCAUGUAGCGGUGAAAUGCUUAGAUAUGACAUAGAACACCAAUUGCGAAGGCAGCUCGUUACACGAAUAUUGACUCUGAGGCUCGAAAGCGUGGGGAUCAAACAGG